ACACCCACGCGCCCACUCGCAUUUGUUGCGUUUUGUACGAAGGAAACACAGGUGUGUGUCCCGCCUUAGCUUUCGCGUCAGGCGUCACCGUCGUCUUUUUUUUUUCGUUUGCCGUGCACAGGAAGGUACAAAGGCGGUGCGUUGGCACUCAUAUCGCCCAGCUUCUUGGUGUUGAGACACUUCGCGCGCCGGCAAGGGCCACACUCCCGGUCCUUUGUGUGCGUGGUUUUGUUGGUUGUUUGUCUGUUGUUCGCCCCAUCUUCAGUAUGGUUCCUGCUUCCAAAAAUACUGCGUUUCUGUAUUUAUUUAUUCAGCUGCUAUCUUCUCUACGAUGAGGCCGGCGGGGACGAUCGCAUCGUUCAUGGAGCGCUGCAGCGCCAGAAAACCUGGUCGUGGCUGCGUAGUCCUCACCGGCGCGGGUUGCAGCACAGAGAGUGGCAUCCCAGACUAUCGUGGGCCCAACGGCCAGUACCACCGCGCCGAUUUCGUGCUGCUGACUUUUCAGAACUUUAUGCGCGACGACAACGAAAAACGACGCUAUUGGGCCCGCAGCAUGCUUGGGUACUCGACCAUAUCCGGUGCCUCCUGCAAUGCCGCUCACAUGGCGCUGCAGGCUUUCACCAAGUCCGGGGCCGUGGCACACAUCCUCACGCAAAACGUCGACGGGCUGCACCACCUCGCUACGUAUGGCGGCGUCGGUGACGCGGAGGAGGAGCACUACUACAAGUACACCACAAGUAAUGCGCCGCUGAAGGAGUUGCACGGCAACAUUCACAACGUCAUCUGCACGUCCUGCGGCUUUCUCAUGCCGCGCGCGCGGCUGCAGCGGGAACUGCGAGAAAGGAAUCCGGCUUUGUAUGAGCAGUACGGGGCGGAUAUGUCGCGUGUGCGGCCGGACGGCGACUACAGUGCACCAACGGAGGCCUUGAAUGCGAUGCAUCUCGUCAUGUGCCCUCGGUGCAACGGCUUCUUCAAGCCGCAUGUCGUUCUGUUCGGUGAGAACGUGCCGAAGCCGAUUGUGGAAACCACGAUGAAUGUUGUGCGCGACAAGGCUUCCUGUCUGCUGUGCCUCGGCACCUCCCUGCAGGUGUACAGUGCCUAUCGGUACGUCUUAGAGGCAAAGCAGUUAGGGAUUCCGGUGGCCAUCGUCAACGCUGGAAUGACGCGGGGCGACGCCAUUGCUGACCUCAAACUCAAUGUGGAGAGCGUCGGAAGCGUGUUGGCGGAGACGGCGCAUGAGAUGCUUGGCGUGCCGGCGUCCAUGUUCUUCCGCCGCAAGACGAUUCAACUCUAGCUACUCCAUCACACACGCUGUGAAGGGUGCACGGAUCGCUUUUUGACUUGGCGUCUCCGCGUGCGCCUCUCCAAACGCCGCUUCUCCCUCUCUCCUCUUGUUGUUUUUUGUUUGCACCCGGAUGACGGUAG
Molecule: unclassified non-coding RNA, 1425 nt
Filed under: Leishmania donovani
Lineage: Eukaryota; Euglenozoa; Kinetoplastea; Trypanosomatida; Trypanosomatidae
Description: gene:LdHU3.23.1940(CDS-product:sir2-family_protei n-like_protein)
Source: RNAcentral